GGGGAAUAUUGGGCAAUGGGGGAAACCCUGACCCAGCAACGCCGCGUGAAGGACGAAGGCCUUCGGGUUGUAAACUUCUUUGAUCAGGGACGAAAGCAAUGACGGUACCUGAAGAACAAGCCACGGCUAACUACGUGCCAGCAGCCGCGGUAAUACGUAGGUGGCGAGCGUUAUCCGGAUUUACUGGGUGUAAAGGGCGUGUAGGCGGGUUUGCAAGUCGGGUGUGAAAGAUUCGGGCUUAACCCGGAGAGGUCAUCCGAAACUGCAGAUCUUGAGUGCUGGAGAGGAUAGUGGAAUUCCUGGUGUAGCGGUAAAAUGCGUAGAGAUCAGGAGGAACACCAGUGGCGAAGGCGGCUAUCUGGACAGUAACUGACGCUGAGGCGCGAAAGCGUGGGGAGCAAAC
This 403-nucleotide ribosomal RNA is filed under the name uncultured bacterium. RNAcentral's name for it is "bacterial SSU rRNA". It matches the Rfam family "Bacterial small subunit ribosomal RNA", at positions 356 to 773 of the family's 1533-position model. The record is from RNAcentral.